This 435-nucleotide ribosomal RNA is filed under the name uncultured bacterium. RNAcentral describes it as "bacterial SSU rRNA". It matches the Rfam family "Bacterial small subunit ribosomal RNA", at positions 56 to 504 of the family's 1533-position model. The record is from RNAcentral.
UGCAAGUCGAACGGAAAGGCCCUGCUUGCAGGGUACUCGAGUGGCGAACGGGUGAGUAACACGUGGGUGAUCUGCCCUGCACUUCGGGAUAAGCCUGGGAAACUGGGUCUAAUACCGGAUAGGACCAUCGUUUAGUGUCGGUGGUGGAAAGUUUUUUCGGUGUGGGAUGAGCUCGCGGCCUAUCAGCUUGUUGGUGGGGUAAUGGCCUACCAAGGCGUCGACGGGUAGCCGGCCUGAGAGGGUGGACGGCCACAUUGGGACUGAGACACGGCCCAGACUCCUACGGGAGGCAGCAGUGGGGAAUAUUGCACAAUGGGCGCAUGCCUGAUGCAGCGACGCCGCGUGGGGGAUGACGGCCUUCGGGUUGUAAACUCCUUUCAACCAUGACGAAGCUUUCGGGUGACGGUAGUGGUAGAAGAAGCACCGGCUAACUAC